Molecule: transfer RNA, 59 nt
Filed under: Streptomyces jeddahensis
Lineage: Bacteria; Bacillati; Actinomycetota; Actinomycetes; Kitasatosporales; Streptomycetaceae
Rfam family: tRNA
About the family: Transfer RNA (tRNA) molecules are approximately 80 nucleotides in length. Their secondary structure includes four short double-helical elements and three loops (D, anti-codon, and T loops). Further hydrogen bonds mediate the characteristic L-shaped molecular structure. tRNAs have two regions of fundamental functional importance: the anti-codon, which is responsible for specific mRNA codon recognition, and the 3' end, to which the tRNAs corresponding amino acid is attached (by aminoacyl-tRNA synthetases). tRNAs cope with the degeneracy of the genetic code in two manners: having more than one tRNA (with a specific anti-codon) for a particular amino acid; and 'wobble' base-pairing, i.e. permitting non-standard base-pairing at the 3rd anti-codon position.
Source: Rfam by way of RNAcentral
UGGCCUAUGGUGUAAUUGGCAGCACGACUGAUUCUGGUUCAGUUAGUCUUGGUUCGAGU